CUGGCGGUGGCUACGGCGACGGGAGCUGGCGGCGCUGCGGGUCAGCGGUCGCGUAGGACCCAGCGGACUCGGCAGCCUGGGGCGCCCGGCGGAGCUGAACCGCGGCCCCCGGUGGUGGGCUCAGCCGGUCGUGCUGCGCGGGCGGCAAAUGAAGAUAAAACAAUGUCCGCCAACCUAAAAUACGUUUCCCUGGGAAUUUUGGUCUUUCAGACUACCAGUUUGGUUCUAACAAUGCGUUAUUCCAGAACUUUAAAAGAAGAAGGACCUCGUUAUCUAUCUUCUACAGCAGUGGUUGUUGCUGAACUUUUGAAGAUAAUGGCCUGCAUUUUAUUGGUCUACAAAGACAGCAAAUGUAGUCUAAGAGCACUGAAUCGAGUACUACAUGAUGAAAUUCUUAAUAAACCUAUGGAAACACUUAAACUUGCUAUUCCAUCAGGGAUCUAUACUCUUCAGAAUAAUUUACUGUAUGUGGCACUAUCAAAUCUAGAUGCAGCUACUUAUCAGGUCACGUAUCAGUUGAAAAUUCUUACAACAGCAUUAUUUUCUGUGUCUAUGCUUAGUAAAAAAUUGGGUGUAUACCAGUGGCUGUCCCUAGUAAUUUUGAUGACAGGAGUUGCUUUUGUACAGUGGCCCUCAGAUUCUCAGCUUGAUUCUAAGGAACUUUCAGCUGGUUCUCAAUUUGUAGGACUCAUGGCAGUUCUCACAGCAUGUUUUUCAAGUGGCUUUGCUGGGGUUUACUUUGAGAAAAUCUUAAAAGAAACAAAACAAUCAGUGUGGAUAAGAAAUAUUCAGCUUGGUUUCUUUGGAAGUAUAUUUGGAUUAAUGGGUGUAUACAUUUAUGAUGGAGAACUGGUAUCAAAGAAUGGAUUUUUUCAGGGAUAUAACCGACUGACCUGGAUAGUAGUUGUUCUUCAGGCACUUGGAGGCCUUGUAAUAGCUGCUGUUAUUAAGUAUGCAGAUAAUAUUUUAAAAGGAUUUGCAACCUCUUUAUCGAUAAUAUUAUCAACAUUGAUCUCCUAUUUUUGGCUUCAAGAUUUUGUGCCAACCAGGUAAAAUGUUCUUUUCUAUUUUUUUAAAUCCCCAGAAGUAUAUAGAAAAAUUAGAAUUCUUUGUAAGGUGAUCUGAUAAAUUUGAAGAAGCACUGAAAUAUAAUUUUAAAAAUGUAUUUAACUAUGUUUUAAAAAUAUUUCAAAUUAAAUUCAUGAAAGAAAGUCUUCUCCUGAAAAGUUUUUUAUACAAAUUUGGUUGGCCAGAAUUUUCCCAAUAAAUAGAUGUGAAUAUUUUCCCUGCAAAGUAAAAAAGUGAUAUAAAAAAGUUAAUACGUCAUAUAAAGUCAUAAAAAUAAGUCAUGUAAUGACAUUUUUAAAAUACGGAAUUUACAUUACUUCCUUGAAGAAGAUAGUUUAUAUAGAGAAUGUGGCUCAUGAGGAAACUCAAUUAGGUGGUAGCAGGAAGAGCAAUCUGGAAAGGAAUUGCAGCAGGAGUUAUAGGUGAGGAAGGAGACCCAGGACUCUGUAGUUUUAUGGAUGCUAAGGGAGGAGAUAGCAUCAGGAAAAAUUGAGUGUAAUGAAUAUCCAUUACAGACAGCAUUGAAAAUUCUAGUUUUUUGUUUAAUUUAUAAUCUCAGACUAGUGGGAUUAUAUUUUAAUUGUUUCCAGUACACCACUCUUGGUUUUCCUCCAACUUUACUCCUCUCCUGAUUUUCUCAACCUCUAAACUUUGGAAUCUCCCAAGCAUCUUUUAUUUAUUUAUUACUUUAUUAUUUAUAUGUUCAUAUUUUUGAGACAGGAUCUCAGUUUGUCACCCAGGAGAAUUGCUUGAACCUGGGAGGCGGAGGUUGCAGUGAGCCGAGAUCACACCACUGCACUCCAGCCUGGGCGACAGAGUGAGACUCCAACUCAAAAAAAUAAAUAAAUAAAAGUUAAGAUUCAGGCUGGUCACAGUGGCUCAUGCCUGUAAUUACAGCACAUUGGGAGUCUGAGGCAGAUCACUUGAGCCCAGGAGUUCAAGAUCAGCUUGGGCAACAAAGUGAGACCUCAGCUCUACAAAAAAUAGAAAAAUUAGCCAGGUGUGGUGGUUUGCACCUGUAGUCUCAGCUACUUAGGAGACUGAGCUGGGAUUGCUUGAACCCUGGAGGUCGAGGCUGCAGUGAGCCAUGGUGACAGCACUGCACUCCAGAGCCUGAGCGACAGAGUGAGACCCUGUCUUUAAAAAGAAAAAAAAAAAGUUAAUAUUUGUAGUCUAGUUUACAUAUCCCAUCUAAAUUCGUUUCUGAUUUAUCGUAAAGUAGACUAUAUCUAUAAAUAUAUCGGAUAAAGAGGAAACCAAGAACUCCCUGCAUUUAAUGUAAUUUCCUUUUGUAAAGCAUCCUAUAAAAAUUGGUCCUGAGUUUUGCUUAUUAUUAUCUUGGAUUUUAAACUAAACUUUACCUUGGUUUAACAUGACAGAAUAAAAUAUUCCUUUCAUAUGUUCAACUAAAGAAUUAAGGCCUUUUGUUAUUGAAUGUAUUGCAUACAAAAUCCCUAUUAAGGUGAAAUACAGAACUUAAAAUAUCUUUGCUUUGGAAGACAGUAUAGUGCAGUCAAUGAGAGUGCAGGCUGUAGAGUUAGACAUACCUGGGUUUGAUCCUCUUGAAGUUGUGGGACUUUAGACAAGUUAUUUAAAUUCUUUAAAACUGUUUCCUCAUGUGUAAAAAAUGAAUACUAAUACAUCUUCAUAGAUUUGCUGUGACAACUCAAUGAAAUAAUGCAUAUAAAGCACUUAGCCAGAUACCUGGAAUGUAGUAAGUACUCAAGAUUUGUUAGCCGUGUUACUGGAACAUUUUUCCCCAAAUUAUAAUUGUUUUUUAUAGUAAAGAAAUAGAAGGAACUUGUUCUGCUUUUAAUCUG
Molecule: RNA transcript, 2888 nt
Organism: Gorilla gorilla gorilla (western lowland gorilla)
Lineage: Eukaryota; Metazoa; Chordata; Mammalia; Primates; Hominidae
Gene: SLC35A3
Gene name: solute carrier family 35 member A3
Exons: 8
Source: RefSeq, a predicted model, not a curated record